UGACCAUUGACGAGGCAUUAUUACUCUUAUCAAAUAGUUUACGGCGCAGCCCAGUCAGUGUAGUACUAUUAUUGCUUUGAAGACGGGCCGGCCUGAUUUGUUGUACCUGGUUUGUGGGAAAUCUCUCAGUUUCUUCGUUUACGUACGGCAGAUUGAAGGAAGGAAAGGAGAAAAGGUGCUGAGAAGGGAAGGGAAAGCAAAGUGCAAUUAUGUGAGUUAUGACGGAGUGUGUGUGUGUUGGAUUUGUCAAGUAUACGCUGAUGUCAAAAGAGUGUUAGAAGCUAUUGAAGGGAACGGAAGACAGGAGUGCUUUCUGUUUGAUGAAGAGAGUGUUUUAGUGAAUGUAAGGGAAGGACUAUGGCAGCAGAGUGACUGUAUAUACUCUAUCAUUACCUCUUACAAACACAAAUGAAAAGAAUGCCUAUAAACGGAAACAAGAGGCAUCAAAACGAUUACCAUAUAUAUAAACAGAGUAAACAGAGGCACCAGCUGUAAUGUUAGAGUUCCCUUGUACAUACAAAGUGUGUAAUACAAGAAUACCCUUUGAAACAACACAAUAUUCAUGGAAACGCAGAACGAAAAAGUAAAAUAUGAAAAAAAACGAGACUGUAGUGACGAGGGUGAGGGGAAGGACGUAAUAUGGAAAGUGUGAUGACAUGAAUGGAAGCCGAAUGAAAAACUAUCAGCCAGUUAAUUAGUGUUGAAGGGAGUGUCAGGUGAAGAGAAAUGUGAUACGGCAACACAUGGAAAACUGAGUGGAGGAAAAACAGAAGUGCUUUUAGAGUAGAUUAGGUAUAGCGCUGGAUAAAGGGGGAUGGAGGGAGUGAAAGAGAGAGAUGAGAGAUAGGAAAAGAGAAAACAAACAAAAUAUAGAUAAAAAAAUGAUUGAAAGAUUUGGUUGAAUGCAAGUUGAUGGUGUGUGUGUUGUGAGGGAGUUAGUUUAUCAGAGGAUUUCAGAACGUGAGUGGAAGAAAGAGAAAGAAAAGAGAUAAAAAGGAAACAGGGAAUACAACAGAAUAAGAAAAACAGGAAAAAAUAACAAGUGUGAAAAAGAGAAAUAUUGCUUAGUAAGAGUGAAAGAAAGAGAAGGAAAGAGAUAAAGGGGAAAAAAGGUGAGAAAUAUAAAAAAAUGAUUAACAAAAAGACAUUAUAAAGUUCAGUGAAAGAAAGAAAACAUUGAACAUAACAGAACAGAAAUUGAAUAUAAUGAAAGAAGAAUAGCAAUUGUGAAAAAAGGAAUGAUUGCCAAGUAUAUAUAAGAAUAGAAAGGAAGGGAUAGAGGGAAAGGGAGGGGAAGAAUAAAAGAGUGAAGGAGACGAAGAAAACCAUUACAAACAUAAGUGAUACAAAGAUUGGUAUUAUAAGUCACUUUCGCUUCUCACAUCAUCUAUUUCUGAAGGCCAAAGAGGAGGACAGUCGGGUUCUAAUGAGUGUUUCUUCAGGUUCACGGUACAGAGGAAGGGUCAAACUACCACCAGGGUCAUAAAGCUACUCCUGGAAAUGCCCACAACUCCUACGAAAGCCUUGUCAAAUAUGUGUUCUUGGGCAGCGAAAUGUCUUGUAAUACUAUCUAAAGAACUAACUCUGCCAUUAUCAUCCUCCCUUUGUAAGCAUAAGUAGCGUUACACAGUUAGCUAUACAGGGUCAGGAAGGACGAAGAGAGGAAGGGAAGACGUAUAUUAGGUACAUUAUAUAUAUAUAGACUCUAUUAUCGUUUUCUGCACGGGGACGAUACUACACACACACAUCACGUUCCCUUGUGGAGUAUAAGUAAUAUGUAUGUAGUAUGAUUAUGUAUAUGUUUCUGUUUUUUCUUCCCCCCUCCUCGGUAGCAGUUCAAUUUCGCUUCGUAAGAUACUAUUUCAAGAACGUUUUAUUUUUGGUGUUUUUUGUUUGUAUCUUCGUGUGGCAUCCAUUCAUUCAUUCAGAGUUUGUUGAGAGAAUCAUUGGUUGUUGUUGCUCUUGUGUUAGGGAAGUUGUUUGUUGUUCUAUUAAGUAAAAAAAGGAAGGAAAAGAAGUAGUUUGUAAAUGAUUCAUACUACUUUGCCGAUGAUGGAAAACAAGGAAAAUCAACAGACAUACAGAACCUAAAAAAAAAAAGAAUUUUAUUGAAUUUUCUUGAUGAUGGAAAAAAAACGAGAAAUUAAAAUGCAUAUACACAGAACCUAAACAAGAAGUGUUACUAAAUUUUGCCGUUGAUGGAAAAAAAAAGAGAAACCAAAAUGCAUACAGAAACUAAAUGAACACAAUACAGUUACAUAAUUUUCAGUACACUUCUGAAUUGGUGUAAAUGAUAAUGACAGACAAACAAUAAUGAUAAAAAGGAAAACACUGCUACCUACAUAUUUCACGGGGACUUACUUAUAUAUCGUACGAAGAAAGGUUCACUUCCAUACCGUACCAUAGUCGAUUGUUAAUACAGCCUUCUACAUUGCCUCCCAGCUUUCAUAGUCAUCCUCAGUGAUCUGUUUUUUCUAUUAUUGUUUUGUUAGUAUUUUCCAUUAGUCUUUUUUUUAACGGUAAUUUACUGCGUGUUAUCAUUGUUUUCUUUCCAGCUAUUUAGUGGUUAUUAUGUGUUAAGUCGUUUUAGCUAGUUGGCCGCUAUUUUUAAGUUCUGAUAAUCUUUUUUUUCUUUUUCGCAUACGUUCGGAGAUGGCUGAGUGUGUGUGUGUGUGUGUGUGUGUGUGCGUGCUUGUGUGUCAUCCGAACGCCUGCCUGGAGGGUCAUAGUUCUUAGUUUUUUUCACAUUUUUCUACUUCAGUUUGUUUUCUAGUAUUUCUUUCAAUUUAGGAAAAGCACUUAGGUAGAGAGAAAAAGAAAGAGAGAUGAAGAGCCAUGUAGUAUAUAUGUAGUUAGUUUUUUUUUUCUUUAUUUCUUUGUGUUUUCAUUUCUAUUAAUACUCAGACGUCAUUGAUUAUUAUUAUUAUUAUUAUUAUUAUUAUUAUUAUUAUUAUUAUUAUUAUUAUUUUGAUUAUUAUUAUUAUUAUUGCAUCUUGUUAGUCAUAUAGAGGCAUUUAGCUGAUUAGGCUGUAGAUCAGUUUACUUUUAUUAUCAUUGUUAUAUUUUUAUUUAUUUAUUCAUCUUUUUUAUAUUCGCAAAGUUCACAAAAAAAAAAACGUUAGUUCAGUUCGUCGCUUUGAAAUGUUUCAUCGAGGCGUUUGUUUCACUCUCUCGUUUCCAUUCGUUUAAUUUUUUCAUCUCAAACAUGUAAGACGUUUCAAUUAUUUUUAUUCAUCUUGUUUUUGUAUGUACCUUUAUUUCGUUCCACUUCUUACCUCAAGUUUUAUUUUUUGGUACAAACAAACAUGCACUUCAGAAUUAGUACUAUGAUAAUUUCCUUCCUUAUGUUUAUUUAUGUUAUCUCAAUUUUGUACUUCCUUUUUUUCUCUUCGUACCUCAAUUUCAUUUUUUGACACAAACUUGCACCCGGAAUUACUGUCCUAUAAUAAUGUCCUUCCUUAUGUCUUGUAUUUUUUUUUUUUUCUUACUUUUCAGCGUGUCCAGUUUAAUAAUUUCCCAGUCCAAACAUUAAAAGAAGCCAUUUGUUAUUAUUUUCUUUUUCCACUUAUUUUUUUUCGUGCCUUUUUGCUUCUUACCUCAAGUUUCAUUUUUCGAGACAAAUGUGCGCUCGGAGUUACUAUGAUGUCCCUCCUUAUGUAUUUUUAUUUCAUAUUAUUUCGCCUUGUCGGGUUUAAAUAAUUUCCCGGUUCACAUAUUUUAAAGAAGCUGUAUGUUAUGGAAGAAAAGCUACCCACUAUAAUUUCCUUCGGUACUUUUUUAUUUAUUCAUAUUUUUACAGCUUGUCGAGUUAAAUAAUUUCCCAGUUCACAUUUUAAAAGAAGCUGUUAUGGAAAAAAGCUACCUACUUUAUUUUCCUUCUCUUUUUAAUCUAUUCAUGUUUUUUAGCUUCUCGGGUUUAAUAAUUUUCCAGUUCAGAUGUUUAAAAGAAGUUGUUCGUUAUUUUCUUUUUCCACACCUCACUGACGCCUUUUAAAAAAAAGCGGUUUGUUAUGGAAAAGAAAAGCUCCAUACUAUAAUUUCCUUCCUUUCUUUUUAAUCUGUUCAUGUUUAUUUUUGAGCUUCUCGAAUGUAAUAAUUUCCCAGUUCACAUGUUUUAAAAGAAGCUGUUUGUUAUGGAAGAAAAACUGCCUUGUAUAAUUUCCUUCCUUUCUUUUUAAUCUAUUCAUGUCUUUUUUUGAGCUUCUCGAGUGUAAUCAUUUCCCAGUUCACAUAUUUCAAUAAGCCGUUUGUUUAUUAUCUUUUUCCACACCUCACUGAUACCGUUUAUUAUUAUGCUGCCGCUGCUGUCCUCCGUCAUACCUCCGCUGAGAAACAAAAAAUAAUAAUAUACCAAACGUUACUUUUUUGUCCAUUGCAGUAUUACCAUAAACUGUACAGUCAUGAU
Molecule: long non-coding RNA, 4405 nt
Organism: Eriocheir sinensis (Chinese mitten crab)
Lineage: Eukaryota; Metazoa; Arthropoda; Malacostraca; Decapoda; Varunidae
Exons: 2
Source: RefSeq, a predicted model, not a curated record